Molecule: ribosomal RNA, 696 nt
Filed under: Alicyclobacillus acidocaldarius
Lineage: Bacteria; Bacillati; Bacillota; Bacilli; Caryophanales; Alicyclobacillaceae
Description: bacterial SSU rRNA
Rfam family: Bacterial small subunit ribosomal RNA
Source: RNAcentral
CGGGUCUCUUCGGAGGCCAGCGGCGGACGGGUGAGGAACACGUGGGUAAUCUGCCUUUCAGGCCGGAAUAACGCCCGGAAACGGGCGCUAAUGCCGGAUACGCCCGCGAGGAGGCAUCUUCUUGCGGGGGAAGGCCCAAUUGGGCCGCUGAGAGAGGAGCCCGCGGCGCAUUAGCUAGUUGGCGGGGUAACGGCCCACCAAGGCGACGAUGCGUAGCCGACCUGAGAGGGUGACCGGCCACACUGGGACUGAGACACGGCCCAGACUCCUACGGGAGGCAGCAGUAGGGAAUCUUCCGCAAUGGGCGCAAGCCUGACGGAGCAACGCCGCGUGAGCGAAGAAGGCCUUCGGGUUGUAAAGCUCUGUUGCUCGGGGAGAGCGGCAUGGGGGAUGGAAAGCCCCAUGCGAGACGGUACCGAGUGAGGAAGCCCCGGCUAACUACGUGCCAGCAGCCGCGGUAAAACGUAGGGGGCGAGCGUUGUCCGGAAUCACUGGGCGUAAAGGGUGCGUAGGCGGUCGAGCAAGUCUGGAGUGAAAGUCCAUGGCUCAACCAUGGGAUGGCUUUGGAAACUGCUUGACUUGAGUGCUGGAGAGGCAAGGGGAAUUCCACGUGUAGCGGUGAAAUGCGUAGAGAUGUGGAGGAAUACCAGUGGCGAAGGCGCCUUGCUGGACAGUGACUGACGCUGAGGCACGAAA